GCUGGCAAAAACGGUGUUUAUCUGAGUGGGUGGCAGAGUUUUAGUGCCAUUCAUGAUGUCAACUGGGACCCUGACUGCUCCUCUAUUCCCAGCCUGGAUGACGGUCUCUCAGCCUCUUGACAAUUCCAGACACGCUCCUCUAAACGGGAAUCCGCGAUGCGUCCGGCUGCGCAGCCGCGGCUUUUGUGAAAGUGAGGGGAUCGGCGCUGCCCCUGUCCCGGCCCCCUCUGGCUCACGCUCCCGCGGCCGGCAGUGUGUGAGCUCGGGGUGCUGUUGGUGGCGGAGGUGUCGGAGGCGGCGCGGAGGGGUGGGCACAGCCAGGGCAGCACAGGGGGGCACCGGAGAGGAAGAGGAGGAGGAGGAGGAGGAGGAAGAGGGAGACAAAAGUGGAUCCGAUCAUCAACAGCAGCCUGGAAAUGCCCAUCAGGUGAGUAAUAUCAUUGAUCUAACAACUUUGAGACGAGACGCGCGUGCACGUUCAGACGCGCUUUUUUGGGACACUUCUGAACUUGAGUUUGUCAUGAAGUUUUUUAAAGUCACUUUAAAAUUGCUUUAUUUCUACUUUCUGUCUGUUAACAUGUUUGUUCCCCUAGUAAUCACCAUUUUACGCGUUAAUCAACUCUUUUGACAGAGCUGAAAAAUGAACUGAAUGAACUGUUAUAGAAAUGUUAUUGUUACAAUAAAGUUUUUUUUUUUAUAUAAGCUACUAAAACAAACUUUGAAAAAAAAUCACAAGUCCUUCUGAUAAACACUUUUCCUGUUUGUUUGGGUUUUUUCAUGACUAAAAGCAGCAGAAAUGUCCACCACUGUGCAGAAGAUCCAACUAAUCAAGUCUGAUUGUGAUCUGUGCUGAGUGGGACUCCAUCCGCUCCACAUGUUUAAACGUGUGUGGUGCUUUUGAGAUAUAGAGCGGCAUGCGCGCCCGUCUCCACCUGCAGAGGCAGAAUUGGUCACAGUUUAGUGGCUUCGCUGCCUUCAGGGUGUUUGCAGCAGGUGGUCCAAAUUGGCAGAAUGACUGUGACAAACACUCAGUGUUUACGGCUGCUGCAAAGUAAAUAAUAGCAUCAAACUCAGUUAUUG
This 1080-nucleotide long non-coding RNA is filed under the name Oryzias sinensis (Chinese medaka). Its description in RNAcentral is "lncRNA (ENSOSIG00000007626.1)". The record is from RNAcentral. Lineage: Eukaryota; Metazoa; Chordata; Actinopteri; Beloniformes; Adrianichthyidae.